UGACAUUCCUAAGAAUGAAGUUGUUAUCGUGGCUCCAACUGCAGAGGAAUUCAAGAGAAAGAGGCUCCUGGAACGAUACUUCAAAACCAGUCCAAGAGGUCCUCCUAUCACCAACAUUAACUGGAGCACAGGAGGAACACACUUGCAUCUGAUACAACAUGUACCACAGGCUCUCAGACAGCAGUCACUAAGAGAUGCUGAUUUGCAUCUCUAGUGUCCACAUGCCUUACAAAUUGUUACAUAAAAAACACACAAAAACAGGUUUUAGAUGAUUAGACCAUUUUUCCCAUUGGCCAUGAAAAGCCUUGGCAGAGCCAUGAAUCUAAGAAGAAAAAGAAGAGAAAGAAACCAAUAAAAAUC
Long non-coding RNA from Cryptomeria japonica (Japanese cedar), 360 nucleotides. RefSeq lists it as uncharacterized. The record is from RefSeq and is a predicted model, not a curated record. The transcript is spliced from 2 exons. Lineage: Eukaryota; Viridiplantae; Streptophyta; Pinopsida; Cupressales; Cupressaceae.